This 433-nucleotide ribosomal RNA is filed under the name uncultured bacterium. RNAcentral describes it as "partial 16S ribosomal RNA". It matches the Rfam family "Bacterial small subunit ribosomal RNA", at positions 29 to 507 of the family's 1533-position model. The record is from RNAcentral.
AACGAACGCUGGCGGCAUGCCUAACACAUGCAAGUCGAACGAGACCUUCGGGUCUAGUGGCGCACGGGUGCGUAACGCGGGGGAACCUGCCCUUAGGUUCGGUGUCACUCCCCGUAAGGGGUCCUCAUGCCGCUUGAUCUAUUCCCACAAAGGAUCUAUCGCUUUGGGAUGGGCCCGUGUUGGUUUCGCUGGUUGGUAGGGGAAAAGCAUCCCAUGGCGAGGUUCCAUAGCUGGUGGGUGAGGAUGACCCGCUACGCUUGGACUGCGACACGGCCCAGACUCCUACGGGAGGCAGCAGUAGGGUAUAUUAGGCGAGGAGCGAUAGCCUGACCCAGCAAUGCCGCGGGUGAGAGCAAGGGCGUUGUGUUGUAAAGCUGUUUUAGCCGGGGCGAUAAUGACAGUACCGGGUGAAUAAGCACCGGCUAACUACGUG